RNAcentral lists this ribosomal RNA (406 nucleotides) under uncultured bacterium. RNAcentral's name for it is "partial 16S ribosomal RNA". It matches the Rfam family "Bacterial small subunit ribosomal RNA", at positions 30 to 526 of the family's 1533-position model. The record is from RNAcentral.
AUUGAACGCUGGCGGCAGGCCUAACACAUGCUAGUCGAACGAGUGGCGGACGGGUGAGUAAUGUCUGGGAAACUGCCUGAUGGAGGGGGAUAACUACUGGUAACGGUAGCUAAUACCGCAUACCAUCAGAUGUGCCCAGAGGGGAUUAGCUAGUUGGUGGGGGAACGGCUCACCAAGGCCCCGAGCCCUAGCUGGUCUGAGAGGAUGACCAGCCACGCUGGAACUGAGACACGGUCCAGACUCCAACGGGAGGCAGCAGGGGGGAAUAUUGCUCAAUGGGCGCAAGCCUGAUGCAGCCAUGCCGCGUGUAUGAAGAAGGCCUUCGGGUUGUAAAGUACUUUCAGCGGGGAGGCGUUACCCGCAGAAGAAGCACCGGCGAACUCCGUGCCAGCAGCCGCGGUAAUUC